This 433-nucleotide ribosomal RNA is filed under the name uncultured bacterium. Its description in RNAcentral is "partial 16S ribosomal RNA". It matches the Rfam family "Bacterial small subunit ribosomal RNA", at positions 29 to 507 of the family's 1533-position model. The record is from RNAcentral.
AACGAACGCUGGCGGCAUGCCUAACACAUGCAAGUCGAACGAGACCUUCGGGUCUAGUGGCGCACGGGUGCGUAACGCGUGGGAACCUGCCCUUAGGUUCGGAAUAACUCCCCGAAAGGGGUGCUAAUACCAGAUAAUGUCUUCGGACCAAAGAUUUAUCGCCUUUGGAUGGGCCCGCGUUGGAUUAGCUAGUUGGUAGGGUAAAAGCCUACCAAGGCGACGAUCCAUAGCUGGUCUGAGAGGAUGAUCAGCCACACUGGGACUGAGACACGGCCCAGACUCCUACGGGAGGCAGCAGUGGGGAAUAUUGGAAAAUGGGCGAAAGCCUGAUCCAGCAAUGCCGCGUGAGUGAUGAAGGCCUUAGGGUUGUAAAGCUCUUUUACCCGGGAUGAUAAUGACAGUACCGGGAGAAUAAGCUCCGGCUAACUCCGUG